This 489-nucleotide ribosomal RNA is filed under the name uncultured bacterium. Its description in RNAcentral is "partial 16S ribosomal RNA". It matches the Rfam family "Bacterial small subunit ribosomal RNA", at positions 30 to 507 of the family's 1533-position model. The record is from RNAcentral.
AUUGAACGCUGGCGGCAGGCCUAACACAUGCAAGUCGAACGGUAACAGGAAGAAGCUUGCUUCUUUGCUGACAAGUGGCGGACGGGUGAGUAAUGUCUUGGAAACUGCCUGAUGGAGGGGGAUAACUACUGGAAACGGUAGCUAAUACCGCAUAACGUCGCAAGACCAAGAGGGGGACCGUCGGGCCUCCUGGCCUCGGGUGUGCCCAGAUGGGAUUAGCUUGUAGGUGGGGUAACGGCCCACCUAGGCGACGAUCCCUAGCUGGUCUGAGAGGAUGACCAGCCACACUGGAACUGAGACACGGUCCAGACUCCUACGGGAGGCAGCAGUGGGGAAUAUUGCACAAUGGGCGCAAGCCUGAUGCAGCCAUGCCGCGUGUAUGAAGAAGGCCUUCGGGUUGUAAAGUACUUUCAGCGGGGAGGAAGGGAGUAAAGUUAAUACCUUUACUCAUUGACGUUACCCGCAGAAGAAGCACCGGCUAACUCCGUG